GGGUCGGUAGCUUAACCGGUAAAAGCACCCCGCUCAUAACGGGGAGACACUGGGUUCGAGUCCCAGACGACCCACCA
This 77-nucleotide transfer RNA is filed under the name Saprospiraceae bacterium. RNAcentral's name for it is "tRNA-Ile". It matches the Rfam family "tRNA". Rfam says of the family: Transfer RNA (tRNA) molecules are approximately 80 nucleotides in length. Their secondary structure includes four short double-helical elements and three loops (D, anti-codon, and T loops). The record is from RNAcentral. Lineage: Bacteria; Pseudomonadati; Bacteroidota; Saprospiria; Saprospirales; Saprospiraceae.